GAUGAACGCUGGCGGCGUGCCUAAUACAUGCAAGUCGAGCGAACGGACGAGAAGCUUGCUUCUCUGAUGUUAGCGGCGGACGGGUGAGUAACACGUGGAUAACCUACCUAUAAGACUGGGAUAACUUCGGGAAACCGGAGCUAAUACCGGAUAAUAUUUUGAACCGCAUGGUUCAAAAGGGAAAGACGGUCUUGCUGUCACUUAUAGAUGGAUCCGCGCUGCAUUAGCUAGUUGGUAAGGUAACGGCUUACCAAGGCAACGAUGCAUAGCCGACCUGAGAGGGUGAUCGGCCACACUGGAACUGAGACACGGUCCAGACUCCUACGGGAGGCAGCAGUAGGGAAUCUUCCGCACUGGGCGAAAGCCUGACGGAGCAACGCCGCGUGAGUGAUGAAGGUCUUCGGAUCGUAAAACUCUGUUAUUAGGGAAGAACAUAUGUGUAAGUAACUGUGCACAUCUUGACGGUACCUAAUCAGAAAGCCACGGCUAACUACGUG
RNAcentral lists this ribosomal RNA (497 nucleotides) under uncultured bacterium. Its description in RNAcentral is "partial 16S ribosomal RNA". It matches the Rfam family "Bacterial small subunit ribosomal RNA", at positions 28 to 507 of the family's 1533-position model. The record is from RNAcentral.